UUUAGCAGAGAUGCUUUAGUGCCUUCGGGAACUCUGAGACAGGUGCUGCAUGGCUGUCGUCAGCUCGUGUUGUGAAAUGUUGGUUAAGUCCCGCAACGAGCGCAACCCUUUAUCCUUUGUUGCCAGCACGUAAUGGUGGGAACUCAAAGGAGACUGCCGGUGAUAAACCGGAGGAAGGUGGGGAUGACGUCAAGUCAUCAUGGCCCUUACGAGUAGGGCUACACACGUGCUACAAUGGCGCAUACAAAGAGAAGCGACCUCGCGAGAGCAAGCGGACCUCAUAAAGUGCGUCGUAGUCCGGAUUGGAGUCUGCAACUCGACUCCAUGAAGUCGGAAUCGCUAGUAAUCGUAAAUCAGAAUGUUACGGUGAAUACGUUCCCGGGCCUUGUACACACCGCCCGUCACACCAUGGGAGUGGGUUGCAAAAGAAGUAGAUAGCUUAACCUUCGGGAGGGCGUUUACCACUUUGUGAUUCAUGACUGGGGUGAAGUCGUAACAAGGUAGGCGUAGUGCU
RNAcentral lists this ribosomal RNA (514 nucleotides) under uncultured bacterium. RNAcentral's name for it is "bacterial SSU rRNA". It matches the Rfam family "Bacterial small subunit ribosomal RNA", at positions 996 to 1509 of the family's 1533-position model. The record is from RNAcentral.